UGAGGAAUCUUCCGCAAUGGGCGCAAGCCUGACGGAGCGACACCGCGUGGAGGAUGAAGCCCUUCUUGGGCGUAAACUCCUGUUCUGAGGGACGAAAUUUUUGACGGUACCUCAGGAGAAAGUAUCGGCUAACCCUGUGCCAGCAGCCGCGGUAAGACAGGGGAUACAAGCAUUACUCGGAAUUACUGGGCGUAAAGCGUCUGUAGGCGACCAAGCAAGUCGGGGGUGAAAGUCCAAAGCUCAACUUUGUGAUUGCCCUGGAAACUGCUUGGAUUGAGCCACUGAGAGGCACCUGGAAUGCCAUGUGGAGGAGUAAAAUCCGUAGAGACAUGGUGGAACGCCAAAAGCGAAGGCAGGGUGCUAGCGGUCGGCUGACGCUGAGAGACGAAAGCGUGGGGAGCAAAGGGGAUUAGAUACCCCCGUAGUCCCUGAGCGGGCUGGCAAGGCGCAU
This 451-nucleotide ribosomal RNA is filed under the name uncultured bacterium. RNAcentral describes it as "bacterial SSU rRNA". It matches the Rfam family "Bacterial small subunit ribosomal RNA", at positions 355 to 825 of the family's 1533-position model. The record is from RNAcentral.